RNAcentral lists this ribosomal RNA (638 nucleotides) under uncultured bacterium. RNAcentral describes it as "bacterial SSU rRNA". It matches the Rfam family "Bacterial small subunit ribosomal RNA", at positions 10 to 659 of the family's 1533-position model. The record is from RNAcentral.
AGUUUGAUCCUGGCUCAUGAUGAACGCUGGCGGCGUGCUUAACACAUGCAAGUCGAACGGUGAACACGGAGCUUGCUCUGUGGGAUCAGUGGCGAACGGGUGAGUAACACGUGAGCAACCUGCCCCUGACUCUGGGAUAAGCGCUGGAAACGGCGUCUAAUACUGGAUAUGUGACGUGACCGCAUGGUCUGCGUCUGGAAAGAAUUUCGGUUGGGGAUGGGCUCGCGGCCUAUCAGCUUGUUGGUGAGGUAAUGGCUCACCAAGGCGUCGACGGGUAGCCGGCCUGAGAGGGUGACCGGCCACACUGGGACUGAGACACGGCCCAGACUCCUACGGGAGGCAGCAGUGGGGAAUAUUGCACAAUGGGCGCAAGCCUGAUGCAGCAACGCCGCGUGAGGGACGACGGCCUUCGGGUUGUAAACCUCUUUUAGCAGGGAAGAAGCGAAAGUGACGGUACCUGCAGAAAAAGCGCCGGCUAACUACGUGCCAGCAGCCGCGGUAAUACGUAGGGCGCAAGCGUUAUCCGGAAUUAUUGGGCGUAAAGAGCUCGUAGGCGGUUUGUCGCGUCUGCUGUGAAAUCCGGAGGCUCAACCUCCGGCCUGCAGUGGGUACGGGCAGACUAGAGUGCGGUAGGGGAG